AAUCUGGAUUUCUAGGUCAUGCACUGAUUCAGACUAUUACCAGAUUAUUAAUUAAACUCUAACGAAUACUAAGUAGUGGUACGUGAAAAUUAUAAAGGUGAUUAGUUCUCUAAUAAUUAUUUGUUUAUUCCCGUUUCAUUAAUACAUUUUUAACUCAAUAUCAUUCUGCCAAAGUAUGUAUGUCUAAAAUGAAGUACGUAACAUUUGCUGUGGUUUUAUUGGCAUUUUCAGUUUGCAACGAAUCAAAAGAUUUGCCCUGCAAUGCUGUCUGGAAAGACACAGGUUUCAUUUGUGUUUGUAAUAAAACCUACUGCGAUACAAUAGAACGUCCGAGGAAACUCAAUUUGGGUCAAUACCAUGUUUACUCCACUAGUAAUUUAAAGCCAGGCUUCAAUCACCAUAUCAGUUACUUCAAUUUCAAAAAGUCCACUUCUGUUCUCAAUCUUAAGCUGGAUUUAAACACCAAGCUACAGAAGAUCAGAGGCUUCGGUAGCUCGUUUACAGAUGCAUUUGGAUACUCAUUCAACCGUCUAUCACUGGAAACUCAGAACAACUUUUUGAAGUCUCAUUUCUCAGUUGAUGGAAUUGAGUACAACCUUUGUCGAGUGGUGUUGGGAAGUUCUGAUUUCUCCUUGCAUGAAUACACUUAUGUACCAGAAUUUGAUCCUUCACUCAGCUCAUUCAACUUGACACAAGAAGAUUACGAAAAUAAGAUUUGGCCACUGAUUCGCGCUAAUGCUAUGAGUGGUAGAAAGAUAAAUUUGCUUGGAAGUACUUGGACAGCGCCACCAUGGAUGAAAACCAACAAUAACUUCACAACUGGUUAUUUGAAAAUGGAAUUUGAAAAAGCUUGGGCCGAAUACCAUGUUAAAGCCUUGGAUGCAUUCAGAAAAGAAGGAGUGAAUUUCUGGGGCCUCACAACUGGUAAUGAACCGUUGACACUCACAACGUUCAGGACUAGUAUACCGAAUCUAGCAAUGUACCCUGAGCAGCAAAGAGACUGGAUACGUGACAAUCUGGGUCCAUCAUUGCAGAGAGCCGGAUAUGCAAAUGUAUCGUUAAUAGUAUUGGAUGAUCAACGAAAGUAUGCCUUUUGGUGGUUGAACAUUGUUCUUAACUCGGUUGAGACUCGGAAAUAUGUGGGAGGAAUUGGUAUUCAUUGGUAUAUGGACGCUGAAGCUUCUCCCUUGAUCAUGGACCAAAUUCACUCCAAAUAUCCUGAACAGGAAAUCAUUUACACUGAAUCAAGUAUAAAUCCAGCCGUAAAUUUAGCUGCCGAUGAACGGUCUAAACAUAAUCACCGAUAUCGAGUACCAGUAGAUAGUAAAGAUGUUGUUUGGGAGACAAUUCAUCCAAAACUUGGAGACUGGAGGAGAGCGAUCUUGUACAUCUCCAGUUUGAUGGAGAGUCUGCUCCAUUGGACAGCCGGUUACAUAGACUGGAAUCUGGCGCUGGAUGUGUCUGGAGGCCCAACUGGGAUGGGCUUCACAUGCGAUGCGCCUGUCAUCAUCAACCACCAAUCCGACGAGUUCUACAAGCAACCCAUGUUCUAUGCAAUGGGCCACUUCUCCAAGUUUCUGCAACCGGCAUCUCUGCUCAUUCAUGUUCAAAGUGAAUCCUUCGCCUCAAGUUUCACCAUUAAAGUGAGCAAGCCUGAUUUUCAGCGUCCGUUCGUUUACCAAGAUGUCACAUACAUUGCUGCAAUGAAUCCUGAUGGAACUACUACAAUAAUACUAUUCAAUCCGAAAAAUACAACGAUUCCGGUGACUAUCGACUGUGGUGAAAGAGGAUAUGCUCAUGUGACUCUUGAUGCGGAUUCUUUGACUUCAAUCAUCUUCUAAACAUCUUCAAGCAAUGAACAAAUUACAUGAGUGUUUCACUUCAAAAAUAAAGCCCGGAUGAUGCCCAUUAUAAGCUUUUCACUUGUGCGUGAGAGCUGGGUGAACUAAUGGAAAGUGCGUGGGUGAUUUGAUUAGUUGAUCAAAUGUCCAUGCCUACCGGCGGGAUUCGAACGCACGACCAGGUAGCGCUAGCAGACUGAAUGGUGCAACGCCUUAGCCGUCUCAGUUAUCCUAGCCAGCCAGGCGAAAUUUAUUGUAACAUUAAUUGAAUAUAAUUCUUAAAUAAUAUCAGACCACCAUUAAACUAUUCCGUAUUACUAAAGAACCGUCAGACCUAUUAGUGAUUGUGAAUUCAGAAAAAAUAGAAGACACUUGCAAAUAGCGUUUAUUGAACUUACAUAGAAUACAAAUUAUAGUAUGGAAUUAUUCGAUGGUAUUGGCUUAAAAUUAUUUUUUGCAAUAAAGUUAUAAAUCAAAUAAUA
This 2323-nucleotide unclassified non-coding RNA is filed under the name Nilaparvata lugens (brown planthopper). RNAcentral's name for it is "lysosomal acid glucosylceramidase, transcript variant X2". The record is from RNAcentral. Lineage: Eukaryota; Metazoa; Arthropoda; Insecta; Hemiptera; Delphacidae.